CAGGAGCUGCAGCUCUGCGGGAGAGCUGAGCAGCAGGGUCAAUGAUGGUGGUUUGGCUGGCUGCAAUGAUGUGAGGGGAGAGAGAGAGUCCAGACAGCAGUAUGACUGAGAGUCAGCACUGUGUGGAGUUUGGAUUAUAAGCCGGCUCUGUCUUACAAAAAGCAAUGUUGUGGGAAGGAAAGGAAAAAGCUUUGACUGUCAAUGGGAUUCCAGCUGAUUUGUCCACAGGCACAAAACAAAAGCCAAAUGAUAAAGCUAUAGAGAAUAUCAGCUUGACUUGGAUGCACUAAAAAGAGUAAAGGAAGAUCAUCAGUUGGCUCAGAGGCUCCUUGACAACAACCCUCUUUUCUAUGGAUGGGCAUUUCUACAUCUAACCGAUGCACAGCUGGAUACUGGCUUGUUGAGGUUGUUGCCUAUUCCUGACUGGCACACAAUUAGGGUACUUAUAUGCAACGAUAACAGGAGACAGAAAAGCAGGAGCGGCAGAAACAGCAUGUUACAGACCAAAUCAAGAAUCUGCACGAAAACGUGCCUGAGUUGCAGCAGAGUCUGUCAAUCCCAGAUCAACCUCAUCAGCCAUCUUCAGACCCACAGAUAA
Molecule: long non-coding RNA, 598 nt
Filed under: Crocodylus porosus (Australian saltwater crocodile)
Lineage: Eukaryota; Metazoa; Chordata; Crocodylia; Crocodylidae
Description: lncRNA (ENSCPRG00005006148.1)
Source: RNAcentral